AGAGUUUGAUCAUGGCUCAGAUUGAACGCUGGCGGCAGGCCUAAUACAUGCAAGUCGAACGCUUCUUUCCUCCCGAGUGCUUGCACUCAAUUGGAAAGAGGAGUGGCGGACGGGUGAGUAAUGUCUGGGAAACUGCCUGAUGGAGGGGGAUAACUACUGGAAACGGUAGCUAAUACCGCAUAACGUCGCAAGACCAAAGAGGGGGACCUUCGGGCCUCUUGCCAUCAGAUGUGCCCAUAUGGGAUUAGCUAGUUGGUGAGGUAAUGGCUCACCAAGGCGACGAUCCCUAGCUGGUCUGAGAGGAUGAUCAGCCACACUGGGACUGAGACACGGCCCAGACUCCUACGGGAGGCAGCAGUGGGGAAUAUUGCACAAUGGGCGCAAGCCUGAUGCAGCCAUGCCGCGUGUAUGAAGAAGGCCUUAGGGUUGUAAAGUACUUUCAGUUGGGAGGAAGGCGUUGAUGCUAAUAUCAUCAACGAUUGACGUUACCAACAGAAGAAGCACCGGCUAACUCCGUGCCAGCCGCCGCGGUAAUAC
This 537-nucleotide ribosomal RNA is filed under the name uncultured bacterium. Its description in RNAcentral is "bacterial SSU rRNA". It matches the Rfam family "Bacterial small subunit ribosomal RNA", at positions 8 to 526 of the family's 1533-position model. The record is from RNAcentral.